GGGGAUAUAGCUUAGUGGUAGAGCACCCCUGGAUUCAAUCCCCAGUAUCCUCC
RNAcentral lists this transfer RNA (53 nucleotides) under Marmota monax (woodchuck). The record is from Rfam by way of RNAcentral. Lineage: Eukaryota; Metazoa; Chordata; Mammalia; Rodentia; Sciuridae. RNAcentral also lists the same sequence under 2 other names.